Molecule: ribosomal RNA, 499 nt
Filed under: uncultured bacterium
Lineage: Bacteria
Description: partial 16S ribosomal RNA
Rfam family: Bacterial small subunit ribosomal RNA
Source: RNAcentral
GACGAACGCUGGCGGCGUGCUUAACACAUGCAAGUCGAACGGGCCUGUCUUCUUUUUUGGGGGUGGGUUGAGUGGCGAACGGGUGAGUAUCACGUGAGUAACCUGCCCUUCGGUCCUGGAUAACCGCUUGAAAGGGCGGCUAAUACGGGGUGGUCCGGUUGGUCCGCAUGGGCUGGUCGGGAUAGAUUCACUGUUUUUGGUGUUUCGGCGGGGGAUGGGCUCGCGGCCUAUCAGCUUGUUGGUGGGGUGAUGGCCUACCAAGGCGGUGACGGGUAGCCGGCCUGAGAGGGUGGGCGGCCACACUGGGACUGAGAUACGGCCCAGACUCCUGCGGGAGGCAGCAGUGGGGGGUAUUGCACGAUGGGCGGAAGCCUGAUGCAGCGACGUCGCGUGAGGGAUGGAGGCCUUCGGGUUGUGAACCUCUGUUUCCGGUGGUGAAGGCCCUGUCCGUGUGGUGGGGUUGACGGUAGCCGGGGAUGAAGCGCCGGCUAACUACGUG